CCUACGGGAGGCAGCAGUGGGGAAUAUUGCACAAUGGGGGAAACCCUGAUGCAGCGACGCCGCGUGAAGGAAGAAGUAUUUCGGUAUGUAAACUUCUAUCAGCAGGGAAGAAAAUGACGGUACCUGACUAAGCAGCCCCAGCUAACUACGUGCCAGCAGCCGCGGUAAUACGUAGGGGGCAAGCGUUAUCCGGAUGUACUGGGUGGAAAGGGCGCGUAGGCGGAUUAGCAAUGCAGCAGUGAAAGCCCGGGGCUCAACUCCGGUACUGAUUUUGAAACUGUUGAACUAGAUUGCAGGAGAGGUAAGUGGAAUUCCGAGUGUAGCGGUGAAAUGCGUAGAUAUUAGGAGGAACACCAGUGGCGAAGGCGGCUUACUGGACUGUAAAUGACGCUGAGGCGCGAAAGCGUGGGGAGCAAACAGGAUUAGAUACCCCAGUAGUC
RNAcentral lists this ribosomal RNA (440 nucleotides) under uncultured bacterium. Its description in RNAcentral is "partial 16S ribosomal RNA". It matches the Rfam family "Bacterial small subunit ribosomal RNA", at positions 338 to 795 of the family's 1533-position model. The record is from RNAcentral.